Alligator sinensis (Chinese alligator) is the source of this 476-nucleotide long non-coding RNA. RefSeq lists it as uncharacterized. Lineage: Eukaryota; Metazoa; Chordata; Crocodylia; Alligatoridae. The transcript is spliced from 3 exons. The record is from RefSeq and is a predicted model, not a curated record.
GUUGCUGAUGCAGCUGCAGAGGAUCCAGAGGGGAAGCCCCCAGAUCUCUCUCUGCUAGCCGGACAGGGAGUCGCGCUCCUGAGCCAUACGUGCGAACAGAGCAUGCAAACAGGCACGCUCUGUAAGGGUGCGCCAGCGUUCGUGCAGGUGGGGCAGAGAGAGAGUCUUCCUCAGGAGGGAGGAGGCUCCACCAAUAAGGAGAGAGUGGAUUCCUGGCCCUGCAGAGACCCCGCGUGCAAAACGUCCAACUAAUCGGUGGCAGCUGGUUCCUGUCAAGGCCAGGGCAGCUCAUACAACUGCUGUGCCUGCUCCCCAGACACCUUACUACAAGGCCUUGGGACACCAACUCAAGAAGAUAGGAGCUCAGGUUGCCUGAUCGCGUACGGUGGGCUUUAAACUAGCUUUGCCAGGAGAAGGGGCCACUCCAAGAGGAUGCUUCGCUAGCAUGCAGGGUGACAAGAGAAAGGGACACCCAG